This 379-nucleotide ribosomal RNA is filed under the name uncultured cyanobacterium. RNAcentral describes it as "bacterial SSU rRNA". It matches the Rfam family "Bacterial small subunit ribosomal RNA", at positions 376 to 770 of the family's 1533-position model. The record is from RNAcentral. Lineage: Bacteria; Bacillati; Cyanobacteriota.
CGAAAGCCUGACGGAGCAACGCCGCGUGAGGGAUGAAGGCCUCUGGGCUGUAAACCUCUUUUCUCAAGGAAGAAGAUCUGUCGGUACUUGAGGAAUAAGCCACGGCUAAUUCCGUGCCAGCAGCCGCGGUAAUACGGGAGUGGCAAGCGUUAUCCGGAAUCAUUGGGCGUAAAGCGUCCGCAGGCGGCCUUGUAAGUCUGUUGUUAAAGCGUGGAGCUUAACUCCAUUUCAGCGAUGGAAACUACAAGGCUUGAGUGUGGUAGGGGCAGAGGGAAUUCCCGGUGUAGCGGUGAAAUGCGUAGAUAUCGGGAAGAACACCAGUGGCGAAGGCGCUCUGCUGGGCCAUAACUGACGCUCAUGGACGAAAGCCAGGGGAGCG